Molecule: long non-coding RNA, 1889 nt
Organism: Aegilops tauschii subsp. strangulata
Lineage: Eukaryota; Viridiplantae; Streptophyta; Magnoliopsida; Poales; Poaceae
Source: RefSeq, a predicted model, not a curated record
CAUUGCCAGCCGCUUCUCUCUUGUUUCCUCUUCCACCUGAUCCGCCGCCACGAGCAUGGCCUCCGCCUUCGGUUAUGACCCUCGUCCACCCAGCUCCGAAGAUGCACACAUCCAUGUCCUCCACAUCCACGGCCAUCGGGAGGAAGCCGAGCAGGAGAGGUACGGGCUAACCCUAGACCGGCCUUCCACGCACUGUUGGGGUGAGGAGGAUAGAGAGGCGGCGGGGGCAGGGACCGAUUGUUCUUCCCGUGGGAGUAGGAUCUGAGCGGGGAGAAGGAGGAGGCGCAUGCGUCGCCACAACACCAAGGAACACCUGACCGUAAAGAUUCUCUUAUUCCUUGAUGCAGAUUUAUUUGUGAAAGAACAGAAUUAGCGAGAGUGGUUGAGCAAGCUCUUCCUGACAUGUUUUUCUUAGAUGACCUUUCUCCAAUUAAGGUAUUUUAGGAAGAUACUAAUCGCUUAAGUUGUUUUGUACAGAGAAGAUGAUUUUGCAUAGGUCUAGUUGUUCUUGAAUUAGUUCCAAUAAGUAUAGUGUUGAUUUGGUUUCUUUUAUUUCUACAGGUUUGAAAACUACGGUCAGAAAAAUUAGUUUGAGGUCACAGUUUUUGCUGGUCUCGAAAAAUGUAUUAAGUUCAUUCUGAACUUUAAGUUCAGAGAAGAUGGUAUUUGUUUUCUGCAGCAAUCAUGCUAAUGCGUGAGGUAUCAUUUAGCCUGUAUAAUAAGUAGUCAAUAGAUUAUAUUUAUUUGCACAUGGAAAUUGAUUGCAACACGCAGUACCAAAGCUAGUAUCUAGAUAAUUCAUUCAAGCCUGAAGCAACACACCCGUACACGGCACCUAAUUGAUCUUUGCGUUGCUCGGUCCUCACGGCUGGAAACGUAUACUAAUACACACGUAUAGGCAAAAAACUGGGCGUAUUGCCUUCUAUCGGGCCUGAUUCUUUUCUUUUAUUUCUCCUGGUUGUUCAAUGUUUACAAAGGGUAUGCAUGCGUAUAUAUAGCAGCUAGGACUACCAGAGGCUAACCUACUUGGUUACAAGUUCUAAUCCUAGUAUACUAGGUAUUUGUUCUGUGUACAACCCGGAUACAACACAACACACGCCAUCGUUAUUUCCAACAUACUCUUUUUGCACUUUAAUUAUCUUCAGCAAAAAAUGUUUUUGGCACCACAGUGGUUUCUUGUAUUAUUGUAUCUUGUGUUUGCAGUUGCUCCCGGCGGUCGGUGCUCCUGUCUGAUUUUAAUAAGAGCCACGGAUGUUUGCAUUUGAAUUCCAUUAUGAUCAUUCAUAUUAUAUAUUGAUGCUCUCUAUGCCUAUAACCAUUAAUGCCUUCUAGUUAUGUUCUAUUUUGUCACUCAGGGCAUAUGCAAGUACUUUCUUUUAGAUUUUACUUGCAACAAAUACCAAUUUGUAACUAAGUGGCCAGAUAUGACUUCGUCCAUCCUUACUUUUGCGGUACUGAGGUGAAGAUGAAUUUGAUAUACUACUUUUGGAGCUCAGCUUUGGUGGUGGAAUUAGAGCAAGAAGUGUCAGAAAUUAAGCGAAGCGUCGUUUUAUGUCCUGUACUUUGUGCCAAUUUCUGACAAUUCUUAGAGGUCUACCAGACUCCUCAUAAAAGCUAACAUGCUCAAGAAUGAUGGAGCACCUUGGUAUAAAGAAGCAUGAGGAGGUAUUGUAGUCGCCGAUGAAGAAUUAUAUCCAUUCAAACAAUGAUGGCGCCCCUUGAUUGAAGAUUAAUAAAGAAUAUAUUUUCUAGUUUUUUUCAUUUCCAAAUUAGAUAUGAGAAGUACAUUGGUCAUGUAAGGAGUGCUUUUGACUCAAAUGUCUUAAAUGUUGUUUUAAUUCCAGAUUUGUAUGUCCGAAUUUUGUUAGUUGAUCUUAUUUUUAUUAUAA